This 23-nucleotide small nuclear RNA is filed under the name Arabidopsis thaliana (thale cress). RNAcentral's name for it is "snRNA_05062". Lineage: Eukaryota; Viridiplantae; Streptophyta; Magnoliopsida; Brassicales; Brassicaceae. The record is from RNAcentral.
AGACAAAGUUAGGGUUUUGCCCA